Molecule: ribosomal RNA, 253 nt
Filed under: uncultured bacterium
Lineage: Bacteria
Description: partial 16S ribosomal RNA
Rfam family: Bacterial small subunit ribosomal RNA
Source: RNAcentral
UACGUAGGUGGCAAGCGUUGUCCGGAUUUACUGGGCGUAAAGGGCGCGUAGGCGGCCUGCUAAGUCGAACGUGAAAUCCCCGGGCUCAACCCGGGAACUGCGUCUGAUACUGGAUGGCUUGAGAUUGGGAGAGGGAUGCGGAAUUCCAGGUGUAGCGGUGAAAUGCGUAGAUAUCUGGAGGAACACCGGUGGCGAAGGCGGCAUCCUGGACCAACACUGACGCUGAGGAGCGAAAGCCAGGGGAGCAAACGGG